CAUCUGGAAAAAAAAUCCUCAGACUUUUCACCGAUUGUUUGGUGUCAACCCAUAGGUGGACUCAAAAGGAAAUGGGAAAAUUCUCCUAAAUGCCGGUUUGGAGAGAACAAAAGACACUGGUGUUCUGUCAAAGUAAUCCAGCUAAUGAAUCCUUUCUUUGAAAACCUCUGAGGUCAGGACUAGACUGGAGUCUUUCUUAUUGUGCUGAGUGCAGCUCAACAGAACAAACAUUGUUCACAAGCAAGUCUUAUAGUUCUUUGGCUACAGCUCAAAUAUUUUAGACGAUGCAGUAUUUAGUACCCAAAUAUUGGGUCUUGGACCAAAAUGUAUUUCCCAGCUCUGAUACACAUGACAGCUCUGGUGUACAUGCCUGAAGACGUUGCCCUAUAACACAAAAGCACUCUGUAUGUCAACAUUUUGGAAGCCCUGUACCUCACAACAUCUGUGCAGAUAGUUGCGUGAAUCUGAAUGACCGCAAAAAUGAAAGAAUCUCAAUAAAAAUAUUUUAUUUUA
Xenopus laevis (African clawed frog) is the source of this 513-nucleotide long non-coding RNA. RefSeq lists it as uncharacterized. The record is from RefSeq and is a predicted model, not a curated record. Lineage: Eukaryota; Metazoa; Chordata; Amphibia; Anura; Pipidae. The transcript has 4 exons.